ACUUGGCUGAUUCUAUUAUU
RNAcentral lists this microRNA (20 nucleotides) under Arabidopsis thaliana (thale cress). RNAcentral describes it as "ath-miR3434-5p". The record is from miRBase by way of RNAcentral. Lineage: Eukaryota; Viridiplantae; Streptophyta; Magnoliopsida; Brassicales; Brassicaceae.